UUUGGGGCGGGGCCCUGGGGGCGGGGCCUCCGAGCUAGUGCUCCCGCGGGCCGGGGAGUCUGCAAAAAAGGACGUGGGAGGAGGACUGAAGAUGAGGUGCCCUGUUAACUCUUUCUGCCCAGCCUAGUGGCUGGCAGGAGCUCAGCAAUUGGGCUGAGGCUUAGUUCUAAGGAGCCUUUGUAAGGAGGGCAGAGGGAGACGAAUAGACCUAAGCAGAAGACUGGAGAGACCUGGAGGAAUUUCCUUCCAGCCCCACUCAGGAAGAGCUGCUACUGAGAGAAGGGAGGGGAGUUGGCAGAGUUUGGGUGGUCAGGAAUUUGGAAAAAAAGAGAAAAAAGGGAGAGCUUGGGGAGCUGUUGUAAUAGUGUGGAACUUUGAGGAAGAGAGAUCUGGGAGGAUUCUGAAAAGAGGUCUUGCCAUGCGCUGGGCUGCGUAAUCCCUUUGCAGUGUCCUCCAGAGAGCUUUGGUAAUAAAGCCUUUUGUUUCCUGUCA
This is a long non-coding RNA of Bubalus bubalis (water buffalo), 492 nucleotides long. RefSeq lists it as uncharacterized. The record is from RefSeq and is a predicted model, not a curated record. The transcript has 3 exons. NCBI's taxonomy places the organism in Eukaryota, Metazoa, Chordata, Mammalia, Artiodactyla, Bovidae.